RNAcentral lists this ribosomal RNA (498 nucleotides) under uncultured bacterium. Its description in RNAcentral is "partial 16S ribosomal RNA". It matches the Rfam family "Bacterial small subunit ribosomal RNA", at positions 899 to 1397 of the family's 1533-position model. The record is from RNAcentral.
ACUCAAAUGAAUUGACGGGGGCCCGCACAAGCGGUGGAGCAUGUGGUUUAAUUCGACGCAACGCGAAGAACCUUACCAGCUCUUGACAUGUCCGGACGGUUUCCAGAGAUGGAUUCCUCCUAGCAAUAGGCCGGAACACAGGUGCUGCAUGGCUGUCGUCAGCUCGUGUCGUGAGAUGUUGGGUUAAGUCCCGCAACGAGCGCAACCCUCGCCAUUAGUUGCCAGCAUUUAGUUGGGCACUCUAGUGGGACUGCCGAAGAUAAUUCGGAGGAAGGCGGGGAUGACGUCAAGUCCUCAUGGCCCUUACGGGCUGGGCUACACACGUGCUACAAUGGCGGUGACAAUGGGCAGCCACCUCGCAAGAGGGAGCUAAUCUCAAAAAGCCGUCUCAGUUCGGAUUGGAGUCUGCAACUCGACUCCAUGAAGUUGGAAUCGCUAGUAAUCGCGCAUCAGCACGGCGCGGUGAAUACGUUCCCGGGCCUUGCACACACCGCCCGU